CAAACUCCUGGGCUCAAGCAAUCCUCUUACCUCAGCCUCUCAAGUAGCUGGGACUACAGGCUUUCUAUUAUGACCUGGACAAGCAAACGCGCUGUGUGGAAAGGCACAUUCGGAAGAUGGAGUUUCACAUCAGCAAGGUGGAUGAGCUGUACGAGGACUACUGCAUCCAGUGCCGCCUGCGCGACGGCGCCUCCAGCAUGCAGCGGGCCUUCGCCCGGUGCCCCCCGAGCCGCGCAGCCCGAGAGAGCCUGCAGGAGCUGGGCCGCAGCCUGCACGAGUGCGCCG
This 285-nucleotide long non-coding RNA is filed under the name Homo sapiens (human). RNAcentral's name for it is "HSALNT0268676". Lineage: Eukaryota; Metazoa; Chordata; Mammalia; Primates; Hominidae. The record is from RNAcentral.